Molecule: ribosomal RNA, 386 nt
Filed under: Dermacentor variabilis (American dog tick)
Lineage: Eukaryota; Metazoa; Arthropoda; Arachnida; Ixodida; Ixodidae
Description: partial small subunit ribosomal RNA
Source: RNAcentral
AUAACUAGGAUUAGAUACCCUAUUAUUAUGAAGCUAAACAUUGUAAGUAAAUAUUAAUUAUAAAAGCAAAAAAUUAUGGGCGGUAUCUUAAGCUUUUCAGAGGAAUUUGCUCUGUAAUGGAUAAAACACCUAAAUCUUACUUUAAUUAGUAAAAUCAAUUUGUAUACCACUAUUAAAAUAAUAAUAUACAAUUAUUAUUAGAAUAUAAUUUAUAUAAUAAAUUAAGUCAAGGUGCAGUAAAAAUUAAAGAAUGAAGUGAAUUACAUUUCUUUUUAGAAAAAAAAAUGAAAAAUUAUUUCGGAUUUGAAAGUAAAAUUAAAAUAGUAUGUUAAUUUGAAUUUAGCUCUAAGAUAUGUACACAUCGCCCGUCGCUCUCAUAGACUUUG